RNAcentral lists this transfer RNA (73 nucleotides) under Oribacterium sp. WCC10. RNAcentral's name for it is "tRNA_Lys_TTT". It matches the Rfam family "tRNA". Rfam says of the family: Transfer RNA (tRNA) molecules are approximately 80 nucleotides in length. Their secondary structure includes four short double-helical elements and three loops (D, anti-codon, and T loops). Lineage: Bacteria; Bacillati; Bacillota; Clostridia; Lachnospirales; Lachnospiraceae. The record is from RNAcentral.
GCUCCGUUAGCUCAGCUGGUAGAGCACCGGACUUUUAAUCCGAUGGUCGGGGGUUCGAGGUCUCCGCUCCGCU